AGUGAACGCUGGCGGUAGGCCUAACACAUGCAAGUCGAACGGCAGCACAGUAAGAGCUUGCUCUUACGGGUGGCGAGUGGCGGACGGGUGAGGAAUACAUCGGAAUCUACUUUUUCGUGGGGGAUAACGUAGGGAAACUUACGCUAAUACCGCAUACGACCUACGGGUGAAAGCAGGGGAUCUUCGGACCUUGCGCGAUUGAGUGAGCCGAUGUCGGAUUAGCUAGUUGGCGGGGUAAAGGCCCACCCAGGCGACGAUCCGUAGCUGGUCUGAGAGGAUGAUCAGCCACACUGGAACUGAGACACGGUCCAGACUCCUACGGGAGGCAGCAGUGGGGAAUAUUGGACAAUGGGCGCAAGCCUGAUCCAGCCAUACCGCGUGGGUGAAGAAGGCCUUCGGGUUGUAAAGCCCUUUUGUUGGGAAAGAAAAGCAGCAGGUUAAUACCCCGCUGUUCUGACGGUACCCAAAGAAUAAGCACCGGCUAACUUCGUG
This 492-nucleotide ribosomal RNA is filed under the name uncultured bacterium. Its description in RNAcentral is "partial 16S ribosomal RNA". It matches the Rfam family "Bacterial small subunit ribosomal RNA", at positions 29 to 507 of the family's 1533-position model. The record is from RNAcentral.